GAUGAACGCUGGCGGCGUGCUUAACACAUGCAAGUCGAACGGGAAGCCUUUUAUUGAAGCUUCGGCAGAUUUAGCUGGUUUCUAGUGGCGGACGGGUGAGUAACGCGUGGGUAACCUGCCUUAUACAGGGGGAUAACAGUCAGAAAUGGCUGCUAAUACCGCAUAAGCGCACAGAGCUGCAUGGCUCAGUGUGAAAAACUCCGGUGGUAUAAGAUGGACCCGCGUUGGAUUAGCUGGUUGGUGGGGUAACGGCCCACCAAGGCGACGAUCCAUAGCCGGCCCGAGAGGGUGAACGGCCACAUUGGGACUGAGACACGGCCCAGACUCCUACGGGAGGCAGCAGUGGGGAAUAUUGCACAAUGGGGGAAACCCUGAUGCAGCGACGCCGCGUGAAGGAAGAAGUAUCUCGGUAUGUAAACUUCUAUCAGCAGGGAAGAUAAUGACGGUACCUGACUAAGAAGCCCCGGCUAACUACGUG
This 478-nucleotide ribosomal RNA is filed under the name uncultured bacterium. RNAcentral's name for it is "partial 16S ribosomal RNA". It matches the Rfam family "Bacterial small subunit ribosomal RNA", at positions 28 to 507 of the family's 1533-position model. The record is from RNAcentral.